ACCCGACUAUCGACGCGCGCGGCAGGAGCGGGGGAACCAGGUAGGCCGCUGUUCCGGAUCUUUCGCGUCCGAACAGCUCGGGGUGAAGCCGCUCAUGUUCCUUUCAUGCGCGGCCGGACAUCUCCAGUCCGAACCCGACAGCUCACCUCGCAGGCGACGGAGAGGAAUU
Molecule: small RNA, 169 nt
Filed under: Streptomyces roseus
Lineage: Bacteria; Bacillati; Actinomycetota; Actinomycetes; Kitasatosporales; Streptomycetaceae
Description: c-di-AMP sequence
Rfam family: c-di-AMP riboswitch aptamer (ydaO/yuaA leader)
About the family: This family represents a conserved RNA structure found upstream of the ydaO and yuaA genes in Bacillus subtilis and related genes in other bacteria.
Source: RNAcentral